GUAAAUUUCCUUUAGUUAACAUUGUUUGCCACUUAUUUUAUUCUUAAUUUAAGUAUAUAUUAGAAGUAGAAGUAGAACAAUUGGGGACUUGAAUUGAAGGUAUAAAGAUAUUUAAUUCUCCAACUUGGCAAGUAAUAUCAUUAGAAUGAUACCCUAUGUGUAUAAGGGCUCCUUGUCUUGAGUGAGGAAAAACGUCCACAUGGUGUAUGGAAAUUGUGAAUCACAAGUGACGAUGUUUUCCAGUGAGCACUCAGUCACUGAGAAGUGUGUGGCCAGGCAGAGUGUGGAGACGGGAUCACGCCCACAGCCAACCUCUCGACACCCCUCCGUCUCCUCACUGAAUCUACUUUUGUUGAGAUUUUUUAAAAGAAUGGCAAGUAUCCAAGGAGAGAGAUCCAUCAUGCUGGAAUAGGGGCCCUGAAGGUGAUUCAGAAGGAUCACAGGGAUGUGGUUCAAAAUACUCGAUAGCCAGUGUGAUAAUAUAAAUGAACCUACAAAACAAAAUGAGAUCAAUAACCAACAUGUGUUUUGUAGGGUCUCAGGACGAUUACUUAAGUAAAUAAAAUUGUGUUGUUUUGUUACUAAGAUACGAAAAAGACUGCCUUUCAUGUGCCAAGCCGUGCAACUGACAGAGGGAGAAAUUGCCAAGUGCCUGGAAUAGAUAAAGCCUCCCUGCCAAGGUCUUCCCACAGCGUGCAGGAGAGCUAAGAGUGAACGUCCCCAGCUGCUGGAAUUGGACGGUGGUGGCUAGAGUGUGUUGCAGGUCACGUGUUGAUUCUAUCCACUGUCUAUGAACUUUCCCUUGUGUUCGGAGUGCAAAGGGUGUGCACAUGUAUAUAUUCACAUGAAGAGAUGCUGAAUUUUAUCAAAUACUUUUUCUAACCAAAUUACAAGACCAUAUGGUUUUUCUCCUUUCUGCUAUUAAAUGUGGUAAAUUACAUUUAUUCUAAUGUUAAACCUCCCCUGAAUUCCUGAGACAGAGCAAAUUUGGACAAGAUACAUUUUCUUUUUUAUUUAACUGAUUUUAUUUUUUUAAAUACACAACAGCGGAAUGCAUUACAAUUCUUAUUACACAUAUAGAGCACAAUUUUUCAUAUCUCUGUUUAUAUAUAAAGUAUGUU
Molecule: long non-coding RNA, 1121 nt
Filed under: Marmota monax (woodchuck)
Lineage: Eukaryota; Metazoa; Chordata; Mammalia; Rodentia; Sciuridae
Source: RNAcentral